This 315-nucleotide signal recognition particle RNA is filed under the name Thermoplasmata archaeon. Its description in RNAcentral is "signal recognition particle sRNA". It matches the Rfam family "Archaeal signal recognition particle RNA". The record is from RNAcentral. RNAcentral also lists the same sequence under 1 other name. Lineage: Archaea; Methanobacteriati; Thermoplasmatota; Thermoplasmata.
AUGUAGAAUAGACCGGGGAGCUAGGCGUUCCCUGUAACCAGAAAUCGCCGAUAUGCUGGGGUCGAAGCCAAGAGGCGAUGUAACGGUCAUCUAUUGAUCCAUCUGCUGACGAUGAGACCCUGUCCUUUGGGAUUAGAGGUGAUGGUCACAUAUGAUCGGAGGAUCAUAUGUGCAUCUUUGCUGUGGGAACCGGGUUAGGCACGGAAGUGAGCAGCCUUACCACAGACUACUAAUGCUCAAAGGGUAAACGGGGUUGAGGAUACAGAUGGGUAGUCAAUAGUAUGAUACGUGCAUCCACUCAAGGCGUUUCUGCAU